This 10216-nucleotide long non-coding RNA is filed under the name Triticum aestivum (bread wheat). RNAcentral describes it as "long non-coding RNA (TAES_LNC010959)". Lineage: Eukaryota; Viridiplantae; Streptophyta; Magnoliopsida; Poales; Poaceae. The record is from RNAcentral.
UCCUACCUAUUAAGCUUAAAUAGUCUUGAUCGCGAGGGUGCGAGAUUGCUGAGUCCCUGUGGCUCACAGAUUACUAUUACACCAGAUGCAGGGACAGAUGAUACAGCUCCAGAUGGCGCGCUUGAGCUCAAGUGGGAGUACGACGAGGAUUCUCAGCGUUACUAUGUGUGUUUUCCUGAUGAUCAGUAGUGGUGCCCAGUUGGGGUGAUCGGGACCUAUGUCGCUUGUUGGGUUGUCUUUUAUUUUGGCGCCAUAGUCGGGCCAUGAGUGUUUGGAUGAUGUAUGUUAUUUAUGUACUUUGAUGUGACGUGGCGAGUGUAAGCCAACUAUGUACCUCCCCUUUAUAUUAUUUAUGUACAUGGGAUGUGUGAUGAUUUCCUAACUUGCGACAUUGCUUUCAAUGCGGUUAUGCCUCUAAGUCAUGCCUCGACACGUGGGAGAUAUAGCCGCAUCGAGGGCGUUACAAGGUGGUAAUCAGAGCCUUCCCCGACCUUAGGAGCCCCCAUUGCUUGAUCGUUUUUAGCAGCCGAGUUGUGUCUAGCAAAAUGUUUGGAGUCAUUUAGGAAUUAUAUAUCGGAGAGCUUAGGAAUUCUUUUAUUUCCCAGUCUCCUCAUCGCUCUGGUAAGGCAUCCUGACGUAGAGUUUUGACUCUUCUCUUCUCAAAUUUCACUAAAAAAAAUUUAGGAUCACGCGAGUAUCUUGGAUUUGUUCCGAUGGCUUAUGAUGAGAAUACUGUCUUGGUGCCUCCUGUCAGGGGUUUAGUGGAAGUGUCCCGGGGAGUUGAGCUCUGAGGUGUUGUCAUCAUAAUUUUAUCGUUGCAAUUCUGGAAUACUUGAGAUAUGUUCGCCGACAUCGAAAAUCUCUUUUAUGCAGUUCGUUGGUGAGAUAACCUCGACGCCACCCAGUACUGGGGCGGGAGUUCGGGAGUAUCGCCAUAACUUGUAUAACGGAUGCUUUUCGAAGGUUGAGGUAGAUGGUUUCCGAAGGUUUCUUGGUUAUGUGUUGAAGGAUGGAUACAGCUGGAUGUAGGAUUUGCUAGUUUGGGUGAGAUAUUAUGCUUCCCCUGUAUCCCCAACACCUGAUUGCAUAACCGAAAAGUUUCGGGAGUUUCAUAGGUGGGAAUUCAAGUAGCUCUUAGGAUAUCUUUUCGACAGAUGUAUGAUAUGAAAUUGGGGUUCGACGUCUAGUGGUUCGCCUAUUCAUGGUCGAUUUUACAGUGGUCUCGUUGCAUCUUAAAGAGUCCUUGGCUAUGCUGACUCGGGGACGCUUCGUCUGUCAUGUGCACUGCCUUGUACAUGAUGGUGCUGUACGAUCGAGCCCGUGUAGGUCCCACCACGAAAACUUCGGACGAAAUCUCUAUCAUAUGUUUGUUCCGGCUUAUUCCGCAAGCCAGUCAUUGGUUUUAUUUUGAGUUGUGGUAUUCGAAUUGCUUCGAAGUCUUAUGUUGAUUCCAUCCCUUGUUGAUUUACCUCUUCUACCUAAUUCUACGUGGCUUCGCAAUUUAGGAAUAUGUUACCACUUCAAGAGAAGUGCAUUCGUUCAUUUUGUUCGGAUGUGAAGACUUUAUGUUGCAAUUUUCAUUUCGUUGGAUUCACCUUCAAUAUUUGUCUAUCUAUGUGCUAAUGGUGGUCAACCUCUUCAGGAUGGCUCCUCCAACGCGCACGACUCUGAAUCCUGAUCCGCCACCACCUCCACCUCCUCCGGAGGCUUGGCAAGCUGUGAUGGCCGCAACCAAUGCAAAUACACAGUUGAUCAUGCAAAUCCUCCAAGAGCGCAAUCAAGGUAGUCCAGGGAAUCAAGGAAACAAUCAGAACCAUUUUGCUACUCUGAACCAGUUCCUCGCUAAUGGUCCAAAGACGUUCAGCAAUUGUGUUGAGGCUACCGAUGCUGACGAUUGGCUAGUGGAUCUGGGCAAGCAUUUUGAAUGCAGCAACAUCAGGCCUGAAGAUUUCGUCAAGUUCACUUCUUUCCAGCUCAAAGAUCAGGCUGCAGAGUGGUUCCAGUAGUACAGGGAUUCCAGAGGUGGACGUUUGAUCACUUGGGAUGAUUUCCGUCGAGAUUUCUGAGCUCAUCACAUCCCUCAGAGUGUGACUGAAAGCAAACACGAGGAAUUCCGCAAUCUGAAGCAAGGCUCUUUGUCUGUCUAUGACUAUAGCAAGUUGUUCCAGAAGCUCGCCCGUUUUGCCAAGCAGGAUGUUCCUGAUGAGAAGAGCAUGAUAUACCAGUUCAGGGGUGGUCUCAGAGAAGAAAUUCAGCUCGCUCUUGUCCUUUUUGAGCCGUUGAGGUACAAUGAGUUCUACAACAUGGCACUGAAGCAAGAUGCUGCUCAGUUGAGGUGUGAUGCUUCCAGGAAGCGAGUCAGAGACACUACGCCUUCUUCCACUACUCAAGUGGCCAAGCAGCAGAAGUAUUGGCUUCCUCCUCCUUCGUUCCGUCAGCCGUAUCAGCAGAAGAGCAAAGGUGGCAGUGGUUCUUCCCACCCAUCCAACCCAGGCUUUCAGAACAAGACUUCGUCUCAAGCUCCAAGAUCAAGUGCUCCGUACCACCGUCCGCUUUUAGAGGUCACGUGCAACAAGUGCCAACAGAAGGGUCACUACGCCAACAAGUGUUUCAACCAGAGGCAUCUUCCUCCUCCUCCUCCCGUGAGAUCAGCAAGUACAGCAGUGGUCAAGCAUAACCCCAAGCACGCCAAGGUCAAUAUGGUGAAUGCAGCUCAGGCAGAGGAUUCGUUAGAUGUCAUCAUGGGUAACCUUCCUGUUAACGAUAUUCCUGCAAAAGUUCUUUUUGACACGGGUGCAUCACAUUGUUUCAUCUCGAGACCUUUUGCUUCCAAGCAUGAUUUUGUUACUCAAAUGUUGCCGAGUCCGUUGUCUAUUGACUCUCCGGCCAGUCUGUUGACAUCUCGAGUUUGCGUUCCGGAGGUUACAAUCACGUUGGGCGAUCACAAGUUUCUCUCUUCUCCGGUGGUUCUUGGUAAUUCGGAUAUCGAUCUUAUUCUCGGGAUGGACUGGCUCUCUAAGCAUAAAGCUCAGCUUGAUUGUGCAGCCAGGCAGAUUCAACUGACUCAUUCGUCUGAGGAUGUCAUUGUCUUUGCCGCUCGGGAUGAUACAAUCCGGUUGUUUUCUCUCAAUGAGAAGGGUGAAUUGGAUGCUAUUUCGCAGAUCCCAGUCGUUUGUGAGUAUCAAGACGUAUUCCCAGAAGAGCUCCCAGGAAUGCCUCCGCACUGGCCCGUUGAAUUUUUUAUUGAACUUGAGCCCGGUACGGAACCUGUGUGCAAACGUCCCUACAAGCUCGGCCCUGAAGAGUUGAAGGAGUUGAAGAAACAACUCGAUGUUCAAGAAAGAAUGGGUCUCAUUCGGCCUAGUACUUCUCCGUGGGGUUGUGGUGUUCUUUUUGUGAAGAAGAAGGAUGGAACGGACCGACUUUGUGUUGAUUAUCGUCCAUUGAACAAGAAGACCAUCAAGAACAAAUAUCCACUUCCCAACAUCAAUGAGCUGUUCGAACAACUCAAGGGUGCCCAAGUAUUCUCCAAGCUUGAUCUCCGUAUGGGUUAUCAUCAGAUUCGAAUCCGUGAGCAAGAUAUUCCCAAGACGGCCUUCAGGACAAGCUAUGGGUCAUAUGAAUACACUGUCAUGUCUUUUGGCCUCGCCAACGCUCCUCCGACGUUCUCUCGCAUGAUGAACUUCAUCUUCAACCCCUACACCAAUGACUUCGUUUUGGUCUAUCUCGAUGACAUUCUGGUUUUCUCCAAGAACAAGGAAGAUCAUGCCAAGCACUUGCGUUUGGUUCUUGACAAGCUCAGGGAACAUCAGUUCUACGCCAAGUUCUCCAAGUGUGAAUUUUGGCUCGAUGAGGUGCUUUAUCUUGGUCAUAUCAUCUCUGCCAAGGGCAUUGCCGUGAAUCCUGAAAAGGUGUCUGCAAUUGUUAAUUGGGAACCUCCUCAGAACGUGAAGCAACUCUGUAGCUUCCUCGGUCUCGCAAGCUACUGCCGAAGAUUCGUUGAAAACUUUUCUAAGAUCGCGAAGCCUCUCUCAAAUCUUCUUCAGAAGCACGUCAAGUACGUUUGGUCUCCGGAGUGUGAUAUUGCUUUCAACACUUUGAAAGAGAAGUUGAUCACUGCUCUAGUUCUGACUCCGCCCGAUGAAACCAAGCCGUACGAGGUCUUUUGUGAUGCCUCUCUCCAAGGUCUCGGUGCUGUACUGAUGCAAGAGAAGAAAGUUGUUGCUUAUACCUCUCGCCAGUUGAAGCCUAAUGAGAAGAACUACCCCACUCAUGAUCUCGAGUUGGCGGCAGUUGUGCAUGCUUUGUUGACUUGGAGACAUCUUCUAUUGGGAAGGAAAGUGGAUAUUUUCACUGAUCACAAGAGUCUCAAGUACAUCUUCACUCAGCCUAAUCUCAACCUCAGGCAAACUUGAUGGGUUGAAAUGAUUCAAGAGUACAAUCCGAGUAUUGAGUAUACUCCAGGCAAGGCCAAUGUGAUUGCUGACGCUUUGAGCAGAAAAGCAUAUUGCAACAGUCUGAUUCUGAAGCCUUAUCAACCCGAGCUUUGUGAAGCUUUCCGCAAACUUAAUCUGCAAAUUGUUCCUCAAGGUUUCCUCGCCAACCUUCAAGUUUCUCCUACCCUGGAAGACCAGAUUCGCCAAGCCCAACUUCUUGAUGCUAUGGUGAAAAAGGUGAAGAUUGGUAUCGCAAAGAGUCAGUCCAAGUACAAGUGCUACCGCCUUGAUGACAAGGACACUCUCUUCUUCGAGGAUCGAAUUGUGGUACCCAAAGGUGACCUUCGUAAAGUGAUCAUGAACGAGGCUCACAACUCUCUCCUCUCCAUCCACCCUGGGAGCACGAAGAUGUAUCAGGAUCUGAAGCAAACUUAUUGGUGGACUCGAAUGAAGCGCGAGAUCGCUCAAUUCAUGAAUGAAUGUGAUGUCUGCAGAAGAGUGAAGGCAGAACACCAAAGCCCAGCAGGUCUCCUCCAACCUCUUGCCAUUCCAGAAUGGAAGUUUGACCACAUUGAAAUGGACUUCGUGACUGGGUUUCCAAAGUCCAAGCGUGGCAAUGAUGCUAUAUUCGUUGUCAUCGACAAGCUCACCAAAGUGGCUCACUUUCUGCCUAUCAAAGAGUCGAUCACUCCAGCUCAAUUGGCGGAACUCUGUACCUCUCGAAUUGUCUCUCUGCACGGUAUUCCUCAAGUGAUAUCUUCAGACCGUGGCAGCAUCUUUACCUCCAAGUUUUGGGAUUCUUUUCAGAAGGCCAUGGGCACCAACAUCCGCUUCAGCACUGCUUUCCAUCCUCAAACAAGCGGUCAAGUCGAGCGUGUCAACCAGAUUCUUGAAGAUAUGCUCAGGGCUUGUGUUAUCUCCUUCGGCAUGAAGUGGGAGGAUUGUCUUCCUUAUGCUGAAUUCUCAUACAACAACAGUUUUCAAGCAAGUUCGGGAAAGGCCCCAUUUUAAAUUAUGUAUGGUAGGAAGUGCCGUACACCUCUCAAUUGGUCUGAAACCGGUGAACGUCAGCUGCUGGGUAAUGACUUAAUCACAGAGGCAGAAGAAAUGUGCAAGGUCAUUCGCGAUAACCUCAAAGCAGCCCAAUCCUGCCAGAAGAGCUACUAUGAUAGUAAGCACCGCGAUUUGGCUUUCGAGAUCGGAGAUCAUGUUUACCUCCGCGUCUCUCCUAUGAAAGGGACUCAUCGAUUCGGUAUCAAAGGGAAGCUUGCCCCCAGAUACGUCGGACCUUUCAAGAUUGUCAGCAAGAGAGGCGACCUCGCCUAUGAACUCGAGCUUCCUUCAAACUUCGCAAAUGUUCAUGAUGUGUUCCAUGUCUCCCAACUCCGAAAGUGCUUCAAGAAGCCUAAACGCACCGUCAACUUCGAGGACAUUGAGCUCCAAGAAGAUCUCUCCUAUCGUGAGCACCCAGUUGCAAUCCUUGAAGAGACUGAACGCAGGACUCGCAACAAGUCAAUCAAAUUUCUCAAAGUUAAGUGGUCACACCAUUCCGACCGUGAAGCUACCUAGGAACGUGAGGAUCACCUCCGUUCUGAGUACCCGGAGUUCUUUCAGUCCUAGAUCUCGGGACGAGAUCUUUUCGUAGCGGUGGAGUGUUGUAACGCCCCAGAUAUAACUUUCCCAAUUUGUACUCCGACUCUUGCCGUUUCCGGCGUUAAGUUAUAUUUAUUUCUCGGGUUCGGGUCUUUGUCUCCGUGUGUUGUUUUCGUUUUUCAUGCAUCUCGUAUCAUGUCAUCAUGUGCAUUGCAUUCGCAUACGUGUUCAUCUCAUGCAUUCGAGCAUUUUCCCCGUUGUCCGUUUUGCAUUCUGGCGCUUCGUUCUCCUCCGGUGGCCAUUUCUAGCUUUCUUUCGUGUGUGGGGAUUAAACAUUUCCGGAUUGGACCGAGACUUGUCAUGCGGCCUUGGUUUACUACCGGUAGGCCGCCUGUCAAGUUUCGUACCAUUUGGACUUCGUUUGAUACUCCAACGGUUAACCGAGGAACCGAAAAGGCCUCGUGUGUGUUGCAGCCCAACACCCCUCCAUUUUGGCCCAAAACCCACCAAACUCUGCUCCAUGUCCUAGAGCGUUCGAUCACGAUCGCGUGGCCGAAAACCGCACCUCAUUUGGACUCUCCUAGCUCCACUUAUGCCUAUAAAUAGACCCCCCAUUCCAAAUCUCGGAUCCCCUCCCCGAAACCCUAGUCGUCUUCCACCUCUCGCCGCCGGACACGUCCGAUUCGGGCCGGACGUGUCCGACUUGCCCCGCCACCGCCACGUGUCGCCUCCCCGUUGGCUGCGCCCGCCGCCGCGGGCCGGGGAGCCCGGAGCCAGCCCCCGCGGCCCGAUCAGAUCCGCCGCCGCUCGCAUCCUUCUUCCCCGCGCCCGGAGCCUCCUCACCGGCCAGAGCUGCCGGACCCCGCCGCCACAGCCGUCCCACUCCGGCGAGCUCCCCGCCGCCCGACGCGCUGCCAAGCCGCGCCGCCAUUCCCGGCCACCACCGCGGUCGACCUUCGCCGGAGCCGUCCGCCGGAGCUGCUGCUCCUCCGCCCUCCUCCGUCGCCCUCGCCGGCGACGAGCUCACCGGAGGCGCCGCCGGCCGCCACGACCUCGUCCCAGCCGACAAACCUCGGGAGGCGCGCCCGGAUCUGGACAGUUGCUACAGGAACCCUAGAUCUGGGUUGACUUUCCCCUCUCCCAUCUUUUUCUUAUGCAAUCUUUGACUGAUCAUAUCUCCGCAUCUGUAGCUCCGUUUUGGGCAUAUAAUAUAUCAAAAUCUUCGUCUUGACAUGUACAUCAUUUCAUUCCAUUACAUCAUUUUCAUUUGAGUUCAUCUUGAUGCCCAAAAUGCUGUUAGAAGGAGGCUUCAUGAGCUAAAUUGCAGAUCCGUUAGUUCAUCAUAGACUUUUGUCAUUUUUGCCAUGAUUAUUGUGUGCAUGAUAUGCCUGUGAGUCUUUGGGAUGAAUUGUUUAGCAUUUUGUCUUCUUUCCAGAGGUGCCAACCUUGCAUUUUUAGGAUGUGUGUGGUGACUUGUGCAAGCUUGCAAAGAGAGGCACCUGAGAAUUCUGUUUUUCAGGGACUUAGUGGAUUUCACUAAGUCUGGGAUAUUUUAGUUCAUGAUGCCAUGUGUUCAGCUUGUUUCCUAGUGAUCCGUGCCUCUUUUGAGGAUGAUCAGUAAGGGAGUUUUGUUAUUCAUGUUAUGCUCUAUCCAUCCAUGUCUUUGUUUGCAUAUGUGGAGUGCUCUAGCUUGAGUCAAUCGAGUUCUACUUUUGCUUCGUGGUAAAUCUGGGCAGAUCGUCAACUUGUUUGCGAUUUUGCCGAUGCUAUUGUUAGUGAUCCGUGCAUGCUAUGCCAUUGUUCUUGCCAUGUCUAGCUAGCAUUUUAUGCCUUAUUUAUGGAUAUAUGCUUGCCUUGCUAUGACUUUCACCAUGGUGAGUGCAUCGAGCUCGUUUACAUGCCUUCGUGAGUUAAAUUUCAGCAUGUCUCAGUUUUCACUAAGUCUGAAAACUGAUUGUGCGUGAGCUAUGUUCGUGUGCUCGUUAGAGUAUUUUGUGAACCCUUUUGGCCCAGGUCACUUUGGGUGUUUUGUUAAGCUUGUUGAGUAGCUCCAUGCCAUGUUCUUACUUGUCAUGUUCAGGUUAUGUAUCAUGUUGUUUUGCUGCUCCGAAGAGAGCAUCGUGGUCUGAAAUUUCAGACUAGUGUUAAUUUCACUAAGUCUGAAAUCUGUUAUGCAUUUGCGUUUUUGCCAUGCUUGUUUGAACCUCAUAAUGGAUGAAUUUGGCCGUGGCUCAGUGCUAGUGUUUUGUUAAGCAUCUUGUGUACAUCCCUUCCAUGUAUUUUGUUGUCAUGUUUGGUGGCUGUAGCAUGUUCAUUUCGUUGCAUCUAGUUGCCUACUUGCUGUAAAUCGCAGACCGGUUCAUUUCGUAAAACGCUUGCCAUUUCCAAACCGUAGCUCCGAUUCCUAUGAUCUUUAUAUCGUUUUCAAGUGAUUUCAUCCCCUCUAUCCAGUGGCACACUUGGUUUUCCAAGUUGAGGCCAGGUUCAUGCAUUUCCUGUCACGUCUUGCAUUUUGCAUCCCGCAUCGCAUCCCGCAUAGCAUAUCAUCAUUGCAUAUUAUUGAUGGAGUUUACACGUGGUUGAUUGUAUCCUUGUUGCUUGUUUGUGUUGUUGGGUAGAUCCAGGAGACGAGUUCGCUAACGAGGAGCCCGUUGAGUUUGCUUGUGAGGAUCCAGUCAACUCUGACAACUGUGCAGGCAAGAUGAUCAUACCCUCGAAAUCACUACUAUCUUUGCUAUGCUAGUUUGCUCGCUCUUUUGCUAUGCCAAUGCUACGAUGCCUACCACUUGCUUGUCAGCCUCCCAAUUGCCAUGUUGAACCUCUAACCCACCAUUGUCCUAGCAAACCGUUGAUUGGCUAUGUUACCGCUUUGCUCAGCCCCUCUUAUAGCAUUGUUAGAUGCAGGUGAAGAUUGGAGCCGUUCCUUGUUGGAACAUUUAUUUACUUGUUGGGAUAUCAUUAUAUUGCCAUGUUAUCUUAAUGCAUCUAUAUACUUGGUAAAGGGUGGAAGGCUCGGCCUCUUGCCUAGUGUUUUGUUCCACUCUUGCCGCCCUAGUUUCCGUCAUAUCGGUGUUAUGUUCUCGGAUUGUUGCGUCCCUUACGCGGUUGGGCUAUAAUUGGAACCCCUUGAUAGUUCGCCUUGAUUAAAGCUUUUCCAGCAAUGCCCAACAUUGGUUUUAGCAUUUGCCACCUACCCCCUUUUUCCCUUGGGUUUCCGGAGCCCGAGGGUCAUCUUUAUUUUAGCCCCCCACGGGCCAGUGCUCCUCUGAGUGUUGGUCCGAACUAGAGCCCUGUGCAGCGCCACCUCGGGGAAACUCGAGGGCUGGUUUUAGUUGUACGGAUUGCUCAUCUGAGUGUGCCCUGAGAACGAGAUAUGUGCAGCUCCUAUCGGGAUUUGUCGGCACAUUCGGGCGGUGUUGCUGGACUUGUUUUAACCUGUCGAAUCGUCUUGUUGUACCGAGAUACCGAGUCUGAUCGGUGUGUCUUGGGUGGAGGUCUAUUCCUUCGUUGACCGUGAGAGCUUGUUAUGGGCUAAGUUGGGACCCCCUGCAUGGAUUGAUAUUUCGAAAGCCGUGCCCGCGGUUAUGGGCAGAUGGGAAUUUGUUAAUGUCCGGUUGUAGAUAACUUGAACCUUAAUUAAUUAAAAUGAAUCAACUGAGUGUGUUGCCGUGAUGGCCUCUUCUCGGCGGAGUCCGGGAAGCCGACACGGCGUUGGAGUUAUGUUUGCGCAGAUUGCUCUCUAGUUUCCCGCUCGUGCUUUGCCCCCUCUCCUCGCUCUCUUUUGCGCAUAAGUAGCCACCAUAUAUGUUAGUCGCUUGCUGCAGCUCCACUUAUACAUCACCCCUUUCCUACCUAUUAAGCUUAAAUAGUCUUGAUCGCGAGGGUGCGAGAUUGCUGAGUCCCUGUGGCUCACAGAUUACUAUUACACCAGAUGCAGGGACAGAUGAUAUAACUCCAGAUGGCGCGCUUGAGCUCAAGUGGGAGUACGACGAGGAUUCUCAGCGUUACUAUGUGUCUUUUCCUGAUGAUCAGUAGUGGUGCCCAGUUGGGGUGAUCGGGACCUAUGUCGCUUGUUGGGUUGUCUUUUAUUUUGGUGCCGUAGUCGGGCCAUGAGUGUUUGGAUGAUGUAUGUUAUUUAUGUACUUUGAUGUGACGUGGCGAGUGUAAGCCAACUAUGUACCUCCCCU